Molecule: ribosomal RNA, 524 nt
Filed under: uncultured bacterium
Lineage: Bacteria
Description: partial 16S ribosomal RNA
Rfam family: Bacterial small subunit ribosomal RNA
Source: RNAcentral
GACGAACGCUGGCGGCGUGCCUAAUACAUGCAAGUCGAGCGCAGGAAACUGACGGAACUCUUCGGAGGGAAGGCAGUGGAAUGAGCGGCGGACGGGUGAGUAACACGUAAGGAACCUGCCUCAAGGAUUGGGAUAACUCCGAGUAAUCGGAGCUAAUACCGGAUAGUUCAACGGACCGCAUGGUCCGCUGAUGAAAGGCGCUCCGGCGUCACCUUGGGAUGGCCUUGCGGUGCAUUAGCUAGUUGGUGGGGUAACGGCCCACAAAGGCGACGAUGCAUAGCCGACCUGAGAGGGUGAGCGGCCACACUGGGACUGAGACACGGCCCAGACUCCUACGGGAGGCAGCAGUAGGGAAUCUUCCACAAUGGACGAAAGUCUGAUGGAGCAACGCCGCGUGAGUGAUGAAGGUUUUCGGAUCGUAAAACUCUGUUGUAAGGGAAGAACACGUACGAGAGGGAAUGCUCGUACCUUGACGGUACCUUACGAGAAAGCCACGGCUAACUACGUGCCAGCCGCCGCAGUAA